Molecule: ribosomal RNA, 137 nt
Filed under: uncultured methanotrophic bacterium
Lineage: Bacteria
Description: partial 16S ribosomal RNA
Source: RNAcentral
GAUUCUAUGCAUGUCAAGGGUAGGUAAGGUUCUUCGCGUUGCAUCGAAUUAAACCACAUGCUCCACCGCUUGUGCGGGCCCCCGUCAAUUCAUUUGAGUUUUAACCUUGCGGCCGUACUCCCCAGGCGGUCAACUUA